This 494-nucleotide ribosomal RNA is filed under the name uncultured bacterium. RNAcentral describes it as "SSU rRNA". It matches the Rfam family "Bacterial small subunit ribosomal RNA", at positions 26 to 518 of the family's 1533-position model. The record is from RNAcentral.
AGGAUAAACGCUGGCGGCGUGCCUAACACAUGCAAGUCGAACGUCCUUGCGGUCUUCUUCUUCGGAGGAGGACCGCGAGGGAGUGGCGGACGGGUGAGUAACACAUGGGUACCUGCCUUUCAGUGAGGAAUACCGGCGAGAAAUCGCCGACAAGACCGCAUAGGCUUCCUUCGGUAGCCCGAGGGAAGCAAAGUUACUUCGCGAGAGGUGACGCUGGAAGAGGGGCCUGUGGCCGAUUAGCUAGUUGGGGGGUAAUGGCCUCCCAAGGCGACGAUCGGUAGCUGGUCUGAGAGGACGAUCAGCCACACUGGGAUUGAGAACGGCCCAGACUCCUACGGGGGGCAGCAGUGAGGAAUUUUCCGCAAUGGACGAAAGUCUGACGGAGCAACGCCGCGUGCAGGAGGAAGGUUUUCGGAUCGUAAACUGCUUUUCUCGGGGACGAGCAAGGACGGUACCCGAGGAAGAAGCCCGGCUAACUACGUGCCAGCAGCCGC